Hordeum vulgare subsp. vulgare (domesticated barley) is the source of this 136-nucleotide non-coding RNA. The record is from Rfam. NCBI's taxonomy places the organism in Eukaryota, Viridiplantae, Streptophyta, Magnoliopsida, Poales, Poaceae.
AUAAUGCUUCCUCCGUUUUAAAAAAAAUGUCUUAAAUUUAUUUAGGUAUGAAUGUAUCUAGUCAAAUUUUAGUAUUUAAAUACAUUCAUUUUUAAGCAAAGCUAAAACAUGAAUUUUGGGACGGAGGGAGUCCUGC